RNAcentral lists this ribosomal RNA (119 nucleotides) under Triticum aestivum (bread wheat). The record is from RNAcentral. Lineage: Eukaryota; Viridiplantae; Streptophyta; Magnoliopsida; Poales; Poaceae.
GCAUGCGAUCAUACCAGCACUAAAGCACCGGAUCCCAUCAGAACUCCGUAGUUAAGCGUGCUUGGGCGAGAGUAGUACUAGGAUGGGUGACCUCCUGGGAAGUCCUCGUGUUGCAUUCC